UACGUAGGGUGCAAGCGUUAUCCGGAUUUAUUGGGCGUAAAGAGUUCCGUCGGCGACUCUGUAAGUCACUUGUCCAAGCCUGAGGCUCAACUUCAGACAGGCAAGUGAAACUACAGAGAUUGAGUCUGUUCGGGGAAGCUAGAAUUCUCGGUGGAGGGGUGAAAUCCGUAGAUAUCGAGAGGAAUACCAGUCGCGAAGGCGGGCUUCUAGAACAGUACUGACGCUCAGGGACGAAAGCUUGGGGAGCAAAAGGG
Molecule: unclassified non-coding RNA, 254 nt
Filed under: Minisyncoccota bacterium
Lineage: Bacteria; Bacillati; Minisyncoccota
Description: Candidatus Pacebacteria bacterium contains 16S-23S intergenic spacer region
Rfam family: Bacterial small subunit ribosomal RNA
Source: RNAcentral